Molecule: long non-coding RNA, 1179 nt
Organism: Manacus vitellinus (golden-collared manakin)
Lineage: Eukaryota; Metazoa; Chordata; Aves; Passeriformes; Pipridae
Exons: 3
Source: RefSeq, a predicted model, not a curated record
AUGUCUUGCUGCAGCUACUGGCAUAUCCUGUCCAACCCAUCCCCCAAUAUGACUGCAUUACAAACAAGGCUAGAAAGACAACAACAAAAUUUAAGGACUGCACUGAAGAUGCACAGGGAAAAAAAACACCCAUCACCAAACAAACAAAGAAAGGACACACACUUUCAGCUGUAGGAAGAGCAGUGUGCAGACCACGAAGGGCAUUCCUGGAAGGAACUCCAGGCAGAGAUGGCCGUGUUUCAGCACGUGCAAUUGCAGAACUCAUGGCUGAAACGACUCCGCUGCACAGAAGUGAAGGGAUUCCCUCCACCAGUGUGUCUCCAGCACACGAGUCCCUGCUGUCACAUCAAGGUGGCCCAGGGCUGCAUUCGUUCACAGGAAGGGAGGCAUGAAGGGCUAGAAGAGGAAUAGCUGGACCCAGAGCUCACACAGGAGAAGGCUCUUGUCUGCAACAGCUUGGACAGGAGUAGCUUACAGAGCCAGACAAAAAUUCAACCUACCCAGAUAUGGAUGUGAAGGGGUGGGACGGCUAAAAACUAGCUGGUGCCAAAUCCCAGUCACGGAUGAAUGAAAUGGAAAAUAAAAUGAACAGAAGAGUCCAGUUCCUGAGCAGUCAGGAAUUUCUGAUCUAUGCACCUCUGGGACGCAGUAUUUCCAUACCUCAGCCUUGCUUUUUGAGACUUCACAGACAUCUGCUGCAGUGAACAUCCCUGCCAGCAAACACAUGUUCCAAGGGCCUGUAUUUGCCUGCACCUCAUCGUAAAGCAAUGGAGAAGAGUCUGGUUCACAGCACCCUCUGCAUUGCCCAACAACAGGCAGAAAUAAGUUGUUAGAUUAAUGGGGUUUCCAUGUACUGGGCAGCAUUUAUCAGAACUAGGUGCAUAAAGAGAGGCUGCAAGACCUUUGUCUUGGCAUCUGAAAGGGAUAACUUGAUUUUCAGAAGUGCUCAGCACCACUGAUGAGAAUUACAGAUACUGGCUUGUGCAUGGGAACAGCUGAACUUAACAUCUAUUUAGGCUGUCAGAGCACUAAAAGGAACUGUGUAAAGAAACUCCAGAUCCAGGCUUAAGGAAAAAGUUUAUCAUAUUUCAUCCAAGAAAGAAAUAUUAAAAAAAGAACACAAGAGAGGGAGAGAACGAAGACACUGAGUUCAGAGCUCGAUUUUAAGACCACUGAUUU